This 351-nucleotide ribosomal RNA is filed under the name Streptococcus thermophilus. RNAcentral describes it as "bacterial SSU rRNA". It matches the Rfam family "Bacterial small subunit ribosomal RNA", at positions 1156 to 1512 of the family's 1533-position model. The record is from RNAcentral. Lineage: Bacteria; Bacillati; Bacillota; Bacilli; Lactobacillales; Streptococcaceae.
UUUUUAAUUGGAGGAAGGUGGGGAUGACGUCAAAUCAUCAUGCCCCUUAUGACCUGGGCUACACACGUGCUACAAUGGUUGGUACAACGAGUUGCGAGUCGGUGACGGCGAGCUAAUCUCUUAAAGCCAAUCUCAGUUCGGAUUGUAGGCUGCAACUCGCCUACAUGAAGUCGGAAUCGCUAGUAAUCGCGGAUCAGCACGCCGCGGUGAAUACGUUCCCGGGCCUUGUACACACCGCCCGUCACACCACGAGAGUUUGUAACACCCGAAGUCGGUGAGGUAACCUUUUGGAGCCAGCCGCCUAAGGUGGGACAGAUGAUUGGUGGAUAUGAGGUGAGGUCCGGGGGGACC